ACACAUGCNAGUCGAACGAANGCUUCGGCCUUAGUGGCGCACGGGUGAGUAACACGUGGGAAUAUACCUAUCGGUGGGGAAUAACGUCGGGAAACUGACGCUNAUACCGCAUACGCCCUUAGGGGGAAAGAUUUAUCGCCGAGAGAUUAGCCCGCGUCCGAUUAGCUAGUUGGUGAGGUAAAANNNNACCAAGGCGACGAUCGGNNNCUGGUAUGAGAGGAUGAUCAGCCACACUGGGACUGAGACACGUCCCA
This 254-nucleotide ribosomal RNA is filed under the name Rhodospirillum sp. o1. Its description in RNAcentral is "partial 16S ribosomal RNA". It matches the Rfam family "Bacterial small subunit ribosomal RNA", at positions 51 to 333 of the family's 1533-position model. The record is from RNAcentral. Lineage: Bacteria; Pseudomonadati; Pseudomonadota; Alphaproteobacteria; Rhodospirillales; Rhodospirillaceae.